This 420-nucleotide ribosomal RNA is filed under the name Triticum aestivum (bread wheat). RNAcentral describes it as "partial small subunit ribosomal RNA". The record is from RNAcentral. Lineage: Eukaryota; Viridiplantae; Streptophyta; Magnoliopsida; Poales; Poaceae.
AUGAUCCUCGCCUCCUCCAACUUCGUUAGGGUAGCACGUCUCUGUCCAUUCUCUUCUCCCGUCUCUGUGUAUGUGUGUGUGUUCGUCGUUUCUCCUUUCUUCUCUCAUGAAGAAGGGGCUGCUCAGUUUUGGAACAACAAACCAUGGAGGAUAUGGGUCUGCACGGGCUUGGAGCAGGAAGCCAUGGCGGCCAAGGUUGAAGAUGAUGGUGUUGUCUUCUUCCUUCUGAUUGAUUUCCAACAGCUUAAGAACUUGUGCGGUGGUGUCAACCUCUUAUCUCUCAGGGAAAAUCCUAAAGAAGCCUUGCUUUGCAUGGGAGCUGCAGUUCAUCUGGCUAAGUGCUCGUGCUAUGGAAGCGACGAGGGCUGUCGCGGUGUAGACAAGGACUCGGAUCUAAGAGGGACGCGUGGGUGCGGAUAG